RNAcentral lists this ribosomal RNA (663 nucleotides) under uncultured soil bacterium. Its description in RNAcentral is "bacterial SSU rRNA". It matches the Rfam family "Bacterial small subunit ribosomal RNA", at positions 734 to 1397 of the family's 1533-position model. The record is from RNAcentral.
CCGUAACUGACGCUGAGACACGAAAGCGUGGGUAGCAAACAGGAUUAGAUACCCUGGUAGUCCACGCCCUAAACGAUGCAUAUUUGGUGUGGGUCAUUCAGUUGAUCCGUGCCGGAGCUAACGCGUUAAAUAUGCCGCCUGGGGAGUACAGUCGCAAGGCUGAAACUCAAAGGAAUUGACGGGGGCCCGCACAAGCGGUGGAGCAUGUGGUUCAAUUCGACGCAACGCGAAGAACCUUACCUGGGCUCGAACGGCUGGUUACCGGCGGUGGAAACAUCGCUACCCCGCAAGGGGGUCCAGUCGAGGUGCUGCAUGGCUGUCGUCAGCUCGUGUCGUGAGAUGUUGGGUUAAGUCCCGCAACGAGCGCAACCCUUGUCCUGUGUUGCCAUCAUUCAGUUGGGAACUCGCAGGAGACCGCCAGCGAUAAGCUGGAGGAAGGUGGGGAUGACGUCAAGUCCUCAUGGCCUUUAUGUCCAGGGCUACACACGUGCUACAAUGGACGGUACAAAGCGCAGCAAACCCGCGAGGGGGAGCCAAUCGCAAAAAACCGUUCUCAGUUCGGAUUGCAGGCUGCAACUCGCCUGCAUGAAGCUGGAAUCGCUAGUAAUGGCAGAUCAGCACGCUGCCGUGAAUACGUUCCCGGGCCUUGUACACACCGCCCGU